UCAUUUGGCUAUACCCAUAAUGAGAUAAAAACUGUGCCAUUCACCUGUGACUGAGAAGUCGUUGCUUUAGGCGAAAUUAAUAACCAAAAUUAAAUUGCGACACAAUUGUUUGUUACUUAUUGUUGUUUGUUUUUGUUAUUUUAAAUUCAAUGGACUGACGUCGAUUGUCACCACCAGUUUUGAAGUUUGGGGCUUUAGCUGUUUGUGGUGUAUUGGCUGCUUUUCGGUGAGGACGGGAUGAUCGUGACUUGGAUUUGGAAUCCUGGAAGUGUUCCUCACUAUAAGCUCCGGUCAACAUUAUGUCUUGCGGAUGCAUGUGUGCCUUACUUUCCCGCCAGAAGCCGUUCUUCUGGAGUGGACAGCCGGAAGUGGUUGAUUCCUGCAAAAUUUUUGACAUUAUUUUUUACGUCCCUCGGAUCUCGAGUCGGCCGCCGAUGUCAAUCUACAACGCUGUUUCUUUGAUGGAAUUGUGUGGUCCCUGCACGAUGACAGAUAAGUCAUGGACGUUUUGCACAAUCGAUAUCUUCGUGACGCACACUCAUCUAGCUUCACUGCUUCUCAUGCUGCUACUCAACUCGUCUUAGCACUGGCCAGUCAGAUCACUCCAGUGAUCGCUUCCGUCCGCUGUUACAGUGUUACACACCUGCAGUCACUCACCACGGGAUUACCAACACCACGAGGUAAUGCAGAGAUGUUGCCUAGAUGAACACCAAAAGAUUGACGGCAGCCCUAAAAUGUCAGCGUGGAUCAUCAUAUGUUGUUGGUAUUUAUGUUUGUGUUAGUUAACCCGUUGUCUGCCACGCCUUUGUUCUCCCCUAGCUCCUUAGCAUUGGCCGCGCCGAAAGGCCCUGUCAGGCAAUGCACCAUAGGGACUUCCCCCUUGUCAGCCCGGACUUGUCAGCAACGGCAAGUCCCAUCUUGGUCAUGGAUCCCUCAGACGUGGCGCGUAGAUUAGUAAAACAACCUACGGGUUGUAUGGCGUGGCAGGCAACGGGUUAACUUAAGUGUAUAUGUAAUCGUAUGUAUGUGUGAUUGUAAAAAGUGGCGGAAUUGUGGGUGGAGGUGGGACAAAAUAC
This is a long non-coding RNA of Daphnia pulicaria, 1076 nucleotides long. RefSeq lists it as uncharacterized. Lineage: Eukaryota; Metazoa; Arthropoda; Branchiopoda; Diplostraca; Daphniidae. The record is from RefSeq and is a predicted model, not a curated record. The transcript is spliced from 4 exons.